UAUUGGUUUUAUUCUUGCUUUAUCCAUUCAUUUUUUGAUUGUUCUAUAUGUAAGUUUUUGCGUAGGUUUUUUUCUUCUAGAUGAAGAUUUAAAGGGAUAUCAGUUGUGUUGUUAAUUUUCAUUAGUUUUUAUUAGUUGAUCAAGUGUUUUUGUUUCUAGCAAUUCAUUUUAGUUUCGGUUAAAUUUUGUGCCAGCAACCGCGGUUAUACCCUGGAGGCGUUUGAAUGUUUUUAGUUUGGUAGUUAUUUGUGUUUUGUGGUGUUUAUUUUCUUAUUAUUUGUUUAUUAGGUGGAAUUUUUAUUUUUUUUUAUGUUUUGUUAUUUUUUGGAAGCUAUGAAACUCUUAUUUUAGACUAGGAUUAGAUACCCUAUUAUUUUUGAGUGUUAAUUCUUGCUUGAGUAGUAUUAGUUAUGUUCUUGAAACUUAGAGAAUUUGGCGGUAUCUUGUACCAUUCAGAGGAAUCUGUCUCGUUAUCGAUAGUCCACGUUGUACCUUACUUAGAAUUGUAAUGGUUUGUAUACCGCCGUUUAUUGAUUAUCUUUUUAGGGUUGUUUAAUUUUCUUGUUUCUUUAUUUUGAUUUAUUUCAGGUCAAGGUGCAGCCUUUUUUAAGUGGUAGGAUGGAUUACAUUGUUAUUUGUUUUUUGGAUUGUGUGUUUUAAUACUCAUAUGAAACUGGAUUUGGUUGUAAUGUUUUGUAGAUUGUUUUCGUGAUAAUUGGUUCUGAGAUAUGUACACAUCGCCCGUCGCUCUCGUUUAUUUUUUGUUAAUGAGAUAAGUCGUAACAAAGUGGUUGUACCGGAAGGUGCGGCUGGAGUGAU
This 819-nucleotide non-coding RNA is filed under the name Macrotermes malaccensis. Lineage: Eukaryota; Metazoa; Arthropoda; Insecta; Blattodea; Termitidae. The record is from RNAcentral.